RNAcentral lists this ribosomal RNA (320 nucleotides) under uncultured Dothideomycetes. Its description in RNAcentral is "eukaryotic LSU rRNA". The stretch from base 265 to 320 matches the Rfam family "Eukaryotic large subunit ribosomal RNA", at positions 1 to 56 of the family's 3401-position model. Lineage: Eukaryota; Fungi; Ascomycota; Dothideomycetes. The record is from RNAcentral.
ACUACUAUGUGUGAAUCAUCGAAUCUUUGAACGCACUUUGCACUGUCCGGAAUCCCGGGACAGUAUAUCUGUUUGAGUAUUGUUUCUAAAUUAACCAGUAAAAAUGUAGAAAUACAUUCAGCUGAGUAACCUUGGGGUUUCAUGUACGGAAAUGACAUGUGCCUUUAAACCUUUUAACGUUCUCCAAGAGUAGUCCGUAAGGUCCCUCUAGAUGUAACGUAAAAUUUUAAUAAGCAGAAUAGUUACAUAUUCUCCUUGAACUUACAAUCUCAAAUCAGAUAAGAUUACCCGCUGAACUUAAGCAUAUCAAUAAGCGGAGG